RNAcentral lists this ribosomal RNA (433 nucleotides) under uncultured bacterium. RNAcentral's name for it is "partial 16S ribosomal RNA". It matches the Rfam family "Bacterial small subunit ribosomal RNA", at positions 29 to 507 of the family's 1533-position model. The record is from RNAcentral.
AACGAACGCUGGCGGCAUGCCUAACACAUGCAAGUCGAGCGAUCAUUUCGGUGCUAGCUGCGGACGGGGGAUUAACGCGUGGUAACUUGCCCUUUUCUACGGUAUAUGCCAGGGGGACUGGGGGUAAUACCGCAUACGCCCUUAUGGGGUAAGAUUUAUCGGUGAAUGAUCGGGCCGCGUUGGGUUCGGUAGUUGGUGUAGUAAUGGACCACCAAGCCGAAGAUCCAUAGCUGGUUUGAGAGGAUGAUCAGCCACACUGGGACUGAGACACGGACCAGACUCCCAGGGGAGGAAGCAGUGGGGACUCUUAGACAAUGGGGGCAACACUGAUCUAGCCAUGCCGCGUGAGUGAUGAAGGACUUAGGGUUGUAAAGCUCUUUCAGCUGGGAAGAUAAUGACGGUACCAGAAGAAGAAGCCCCGGCUAACUCCGUG